ACUCCUGCGGGAGGCAGCAGUGGGGAAUUUUGGACAAUGGGCGCAAGCCUGAUCCAGCCAUGCCGCGUGCGGGAAGAAGGCCUUCGGGUUGUAAACCGCUUUUGUCAGGGAAGAAAAGGUUCUGGCUAAUACCUGGGACUCAUGACGGUACCUGAAGAAUAAGCACCGGCUAACUACGUGCCAGCAGCCGCGGUAAUACGUAGGGUGCAAGCGUUAAUCGGAAUUACUGGGCGUAAAGCGUGCGCAGGCGGUUAUGCAAGACAGAGGUGAAAUCCCCGGGCUCAACCUGGGAACUGCCUUUGUGACUGCAUGGCUAGAGUACGGUAGAGGGGGAUGGAAUUCCGCGUGUAGCAGUGAAAUGCGUAGAUAUGCGGAGGAACACCGAUGGCGAAGGCAAUCCCCUGGACCUGUACUGACGCUCAUGCACGAAAGCGUGGGGAGCAAACAGGAUUAGAUACCCUGGUAGUCCCAUG
Molecule: ribosomal RNA, 473 nt
Filed under: uncultured organism
Description: partial 16S ribosomal RNA
Rfam family: Bacterial small subunit ribosomal RNA
Source: RNAcentral